GAUGAACGCUAGCUACAGGCUUAACACAUGCAAGUCGAGGGGCAGCAUGAACAUAGCUUGCUAUGUCUGAUGGCGACCGGCGCACGGGUGCGUAACACGUAUCCAAUCUGCCCGUCACUCGGGGAUAGCCUUCUGAAAGGAAGAUUAAUACCCGAUGGCAUGCAAUUUCCGGCAUCGGAGAUGCAUUAAAGAUUUAUCGGUGACGGAUGAGGAUGCGUACGAUUAGCUGGUUGGCGGGGUAACGGCCCACCAAGGCUACGAUCGUUAGGGGUUCUGAGAGGAAGGUCCCCCACACUGGAACUGAGACACGGUCCAG
This 316-nucleotide ribosomal RNA is filed under the name uncultured bacterium. RNAcentral describes it as "bacterial SSU rRNA". It matches the Rfam family "Bacterial small subunit ribosomal RNA", at positions 28 to 334 of the family's 1533-position model. The record is from RNAcentral.